Molecule: long non-coding RNA, 1515 nt
Filed under: Trifolium pratense (red clover)
Lineage: Eukaryota; Viridiplantae; Streptophyta; Magnoliopsida; Fabales; Fabaceae
Description: long non-coding RNA (TPRA_LNC003716)
Source: RNAcentral
GAUUGGUCCCCUCAAAUUAAAGUCGAUACCGAAUAUUGAAAAGGAUAAAAAUUAUGGGGUUCUUUGGUCAAGUGGUUCUUCGACCCAAGUCAAGUCCAGUCCAUCUAAUUUAUUCUUUCCCAUUUCAGGAUGGCCAUGCUGCUAUCCGAGUGCAAUCGGCAAAAACAAGUUAAAUGUCUGAACCUUUCAAUCCCGACUGAUUUACAAUGCACUUUUGAGUAUAAAUAAAUAAUAUUAGUCAUUAAAUAAUAAAUCAAAUUAAGUGGUUACUGGUUAGUGUUAUUUUAGUCCUUCAAAAUAAUUAAGAAACGAAACGAAUUAAACUCACUUGGGGUUGCUCGAGUGGUGUUGGCUUGGGCCCUUGGAGUAUGCUCCUCUCAAGGUCUCAGGUUCGAUUCCCACUGGUGCCAAUUUCGGUGGGCUAAGUCCAUACAGAGCAAAAAAAACUCUGGCCCGCAAGUGGGCGGUGGGAUUGGUUCCCUUGAAUUAGUCGGUCCUAAGACCGGAUACCAAAUUUUCAAAAAAAAAGAAACGAAACGAAACGAAUUUCUAUGAUUCUAUAAAGAAAACUAAAACGUACCUUCCAUGUUUUACACAGUUGAUUUCUCGUAGAACUUUUCUAAAAUUAACAAGAUACAUCUCAACUUGACUUAAACAAAACUCUUAACUAAUUCCUUUUGUAUAACAUUCAGGCAGUGAUCACAUGCUAGAGAUAGAGAAGAGAAAACAACACAAAAUUUUUUAUACCGGUUCUUUCCACAAACGAGAGUGGUUCAGUCCUCUUUUACUUCCAAGAAAGUUCACUAUAAUAACAACUGAUUAUAAUUGCCAAAACACCAAGUUAUGACUUCCUUACCCAAGUACCUAACUUAGGACUUCCUUGCUCAGGUACUACGUACAACUUAAAACAAAUUUAAGAAGGUUUACAAAGAUUGAACACUUGAUAUACUAUCAGAGGUGUUUACAAAAUACAACACAUGUUUUCUUGUAGUUAACCAAUGCCUCGAUAUAUAUAGGCAGAUAGAAAAAGAUCUAUUGAAAAUGACCAUUGAGAAGCUUGUUGGAACUUGCAAGCUGAUUUCUGCAUAGCCGUUUCAAUCUGGGUAAUAACCGUACCAAGCUUUGAUGAGGAGAACUAAUGUAUUUACAUUCCUGACAAAAGGACAACUGCUUCAACUGUUGUGAUAUCCAAGGGAGUUUUACGACGUUGUACUUUAUUCUUUCCUCUUUGUCAACUUUGAUGUGAACCUUUGAGACUACAAAUUCUGAUCUUCCAAAGACAAACUUACUCAGAGUUUGUUGUUCACAACUUCUAAAACUUUUCAACUUUUGAAGCAUAGCUGCCUCUGAACGUCUUAAUUAAGAGUUGACUUUCAGCUUCUCUUUUUCACAUGUUCAAGUGAAUAAUGAUUAACUCUUUCAGUCAUGCACACUUGAACAAAUAUCAGUAACAUUAAUUGUUCUUUUAUAUUUUGUUAUUAUCAAAACCAUUAGAGAGAUUUAACAAAAUCAAUU